ACACACGGAGGUGGGGCGGGGCCGAGUCAAACUGGACGCUCCUCCUCCAGUCCUCUUCCUCGAGUGCCUGCGGUCGCAGUGAGUCUGCCCUGCACCUCAGUAUCUAGCCCACGGUGCCUUCGAGGCGUCUGAUUGUCCCGGCUCGGGCUGGCAGCCACAGCAAUGCUGAGCGCUGUGCUGGGAAGGAGGAGUUGCUCCUGUGUCAGGCGCAGGAGGAGCCUGUGCCCCACACUCCCUAGCAGCAGUGGCUGCUCUGCCUCUCCCCUCUGCCCCAGCCCUCUGAGAAUCCUCUCUUCACCUAGCAGCAGCAGAGAGGUGCAGGGAAGCUCUCUCCAGCCAGGUGCUAAUAAUGUGAAGCCACUCGAAGGUGUAAAAAUUCUUGAUCUAACAAGGGUACUUGCAGGACCCUUUGCAACAAUGAAUUUAGGAGACCUAGGAGCAGAAGUUAUUAAAGUGGAAAGACCAGGAGUUGGUGAUGACACAAGAGCCUGGGGGCCACCUUUUGUUGGAACAGAAAGCAUUUAUUUUCUCAGUGUAAAUCGAAAUAAAAAGAGUAUAGCUGUCAAUAUGAAAAAUCCAAAAGGAGCAAAGAUAAUCAGAGAGCUUGCAGCUGUGUCUGAUGUUUUUGUGGAAAAUUAUGUCCCUGGGAAACUAGCUGAAAUGGGCCUGGGGUAUGAAGACAUUAACAAGAUUGCUUCUCACAUUGUGUACUGUUCAAUAACAGGUUAUGGUCAGACUGGUCCAGCGUUUCAGAGAGCAGGUUAUGACUCUGUUGCAGCGGCUGUUUCUGGUCUUAUGCAUAUCACAGGGCCGGAGGAUGGUGGUCCAGUUAGGCCAGGAGUAGCCAUGACAGACCUUGCUACAGGGCUGUACACGUAUGGAGCAAUCAUGGCCGGCCUGCUUCAAAGAUAUAAAACUGGGAAGGGACUUCACAUUGACUGCAAUCUAUUGUCAUCUCAGGUUGCAUGUCUUACCCAUAUAGCAGCUAAUUACCUUAAUUGCAAAAUGGAAGCAAAGCGGUGGGGUACGGCUCAUGGCAGUAUUGUUCCUUAUCAGGCUUUCAAAACUAAGGAUGGCUACCUAGUGGUGGGAGCUGGGAAUGAUCAGCAAUUUGUCACCGUGUGCAAGAUCCUGAAUUUGCUUGAAAUUAGUAAAGAUUCCAGAUAUAAAACUAACAAACUCCGAGUGCAGAACAGGAAAGAGCUUAUUGAAAUAUUAUCAGCCCGGUUUUCAGAAAAAAUGACCACCAAAUGGCUUGAACUCUUUGAAGGUAGUGGUGUUCCAUAUGGUCCAAUCAACAGUAUGCAGCAAGUAUUCUUGGAUCCUCAGGGCUUGGGUGUUGUUUUUUGCUUGGUGGGUAGUAAUAGGCAAUUUUUGCUGAAAGCUGAGUGUCAAGACAGGAAUCAAGUUGCAGUAAUCGAGCUCAGACUACAAGGUGCGGCACAAUAGACUUAUAAUGGAAAUGGAUCAUCCAACAGUAGGGAAGAUAGCUGUCCCAGGUUGAUUGUUUUUACCUGGUCUUAAUUAACAUCUUCAUUCAGCACUCAGAUACCACAGCCGUAGAUGCCAUAUACGAAUCUAGGGAGAUGGAUGGAUACACAGAGAUCUGGAAGAGGAAUUAAAUAUGUUUAAGAAAAUGAAUGAUCAUUCUGAAUGGAGAGCACUACAGACUCUUUGAGGAUAGAAAAAUAAUGGAAAAGAGAGGUUAGCUAUAAGGGAAAACCCAAAUCUCACUGGAUGGUACUGGGGCAGCCAAAUUAAACUAGUGAACAAAGUUGAGGAAGCCUUGGAAUCUGAUUUAAUCCUAAACUCUUCUGGUGAAGAACAUCAAUUCAUUUGCUACCAAAGCAGCAUUUUCUCUUGCUUUGUGUGGGCCACUGGACAAUGUAUUUUUAAUGGCUACAUGGGAUAUAAUAUACACCAACACCUAUUUGUUUUUAUAGCAUGAACUAUUGUCCAAAUCUGUCCAAUUAUGGUAUAUUUCGUAUAUGACUUUGAAAGCCCAAAUAACAACUUUCCCAACAUCUACAUUAUCCAAGUGUUGGCCUGUAAAAACUUGCCUUUUAUCACUAUUUUUUUAAAUAGUUAAAAAAACAACAACAAAAACCUAAACCGGACAGACAGAAAUGUAUACAGUCCCCUUUAUUAACCUUUUAAGGUAGAAACACUCAUGAGCAUAUCUGUUGGAUGAGCUUGGCAGGUCAGCUGUCCAAGCCUGACACCACUGGUUUAAAAUUAGAGUUUUCGGUCUCCUAGAUGAGCUGCCUGCCAAGGCUGAUGAGCCCUACUUUCCCAACAAGAUUUAUUUUAAGGUGGUUUUUAUUUGCCUUGAACAUCCUUGUUAUAGGGCCUAAGUGGCAUGGUUGAAAUUUGGAGAGGUCAGUAUGGAUUCAUGCCAGGAAGGAUCACAAUUGUUGCCAUGUUUGUGCUACAAAUUCUCAUGGAGACAUUCACAGAAAAGAGUUGGCAAUUGGAUGUGGUCUUUGUGGAUCUGGAGAAGGUGUGCAAUUGUGUACCAAGAGAAUUAGUUGGGUGGAGUUUGCAACGGAGAAGCAUGCCAGAAGGAUAUGUAUGAUGAAGUGAAUGCUGUAGUCAAACUAAAUGGGGCUACAGUAGAGAAUUUCUGGUAAACGCUGGCCUGCAACAGGUUGUUGUUUUGAGUCUUAAUUUAUUAACAUUUGAAAAACACUUCGCUAUCUUCAGAAGGAGGGUGAUACUGAAGUGUCAGGUGCUUUUUUAAUGUAUUUAUUUUGCCCAGGAAAACAAGGCAGGCUGAUUAUAAAGGAAGAAAACUGCGAUGGUAUUUCCUUGUAUUGAAUCAACUUGCCAGAAACCUCAGACUGUUGUUAACUAUGCCGUCUUCUUUUCAAUCUUUUAGCGUCGGGAAAGGGGGGAAGGUUCAGUAGGACUAGAUACAUGGCAGAGACUGUUCAUUGAAAAGUGUUGUCCUGCAUUGAGGGAUUUUGCAGGAAAUUAAAGAAAUCUGUGCUACAAUACAUUGUUUCCUGCAGCUAGGAGAUCUCGCGCUACAGGAACAACAACAAAAUAAAACAUCCCAGCAAUUCUCUACAAGAGCCCCUGCCUGAACUUCUGAUCCUGUCUGCUUUUCAUCACACAUUCUUGGUGUGCUUUUGUGUGUGUGCGUGUGCUUAGCUAAUGUUGAUUGAAAAAUUUUAAUUUCACUUCACUAUUUAUGGCACGUUGGAGACAUAAAUUCACCAGCAUUACCGUUACCUCAUUCACCUUUUUUAGUCAUCAGCACUGACUGUUUAUGUGUUUUACAUUUGCAGAGCUGAUUUCAAUUUUGAGGAAUUCAGUACCAUUGCAGGAACUCCGCAGAAAUGAUGUAUGUCAUCUCACUUGGCUAUCCUCAAAAUACUUUAAAAAAAUCUUAAAAAUAUAUAUAAACAGUAGAUUGGUACUGAUUGCAAAACCAGAAAUGAGGUAGUGGGGAAGGUAAGGAAUAUGUUCUGAGUUUGGGGAUUAUUCAGAAAAGUAAAGGACUUUUUUUUUUUAAAAGAAAAAUGUGUGAUAUUUUAAUUUGGAAUGUGAUGGCAUUCCUUUUAAAGUGAGGAAUAAAUAGCAAACCUUCUUACUCCUCCAGCAUAUUUUCUUAACAUUUUAUAAAGUGAUUACACACACACCCCCACACACCCCCAAUGGUAGAAUGGCCUUUGCACCUUAAUCAAUGCUUCCCCACUUACGACGGAAGAAGAAGUAAGCUGCCUCUUACCUAGGGUGAGUACAUGUCCUGAUUUUUAUAGGGACAGUCCCGAUUUUGGGGGCUUUUUCUUAUAUAGGCACCUAUUACCUCCCACUGCAUGUCCCGAUUUUUUACACUUGCUAUCUGGUCACUCUACUCUGACCCAUUGCUGUGACUUUCAUUCUAUGGGGCCAUCACACCUUUCCCUGAAUCCAGAUUGGCUGUGCAUGCAUCCUACGCAUCACUAUGGCAUGGACUGGAACUAGGAAUUUUGUGUUCCGUAGACAGCAGUUCUGUCAGCUGAGCCAAUAGUGAGUCUGCCCUUGUGUUAAGCUUGUCUCAGCUGGAAGUUGCUCUUUGCAGAGCUUAGAGUUUUUAUUUAAGUUUCUCUCUAGAUUAUAUACAUAUGUGGCAGUCAAAGCAGUUAUUUUAUAGCACGUUUCUUUCUGCUUUUGAAGUCAGAAUGACAGAAGGAUAUUUUCUUAAAACAAAAGAGAGCACUCCCACCUACUCUGUAUGGUACAAUACUGAGUAAAAUAAAAUCUGUGAAUGAGUGUAACUCUGCAUAUUAUUUAGUCAGUGGUUUUAUUUCUAAGGAUGAAAAGAUUUUCUUUAUUUUUUACUCCAUCUUCAGUGAGUUACUAUCUGGCUCUCUUUGUUUUACGCUAGACACUUUUCCAAUGAUACAAAUAAACAAAAAUAACACUUUUCUGCACUCAGUCAUAUAUCUGAAUCAAACUAAAGAAACAGAAUUAUUUAGGCAACCAUUUUGUCUAAAGUGUUAUCCUCUCACCAGAGGUAACAUUUAUUGCAGCUGUCAUAUGUGUCUCUGGAAUUCAGUUUUGUUUAGGAACAAAACCCACUAUUUUUGUUGUUUUCCACAAAAUAGUCCCUCACCUCUGCCUGUUCAAAUAGCUCAGAAAGCAUUUUCCUAUCCCCUUCCUCUGUGACCAAGCACAGCCAGGUGCUCACACAGAACAGGGUGUGUGAUUGUAAAGAUAUAUAUGUGUGCCUCGGGUGCAUUGUAAAACAGCCAAAUUACUUCAGCGCCCAUAAAUUGCAAGUAUAUCUUUAUGAUCUUUAAUAAUUAUUGGAUAAGAAAAGGAAUCCACUGUCAAUUCAAAAGUUUAGUUUAAUUAAAUGUCAGAAUAUGUUUUAAACAUUUAGACAAUUUUCCUUAAUCCCUAGAACACUGGGAUGACUGUACAAGUCCCCUUGCAUGCUCCCACCACAUGUCUUCCUAACAAACAAGCCCUUCCCCAUUUUCAAAAGGAGCCCUCCAUAGCCCUAUCCCAGGAGUGGAGUGAAUGGCUGGAUUUAAAUUGUUAAAAGUGAGCAUAUUUUCAUAGAUGUUAAAUCCAGAAGUGACCAUACGAUCAUCUAGUCUAUCCUCCUGUAUAGAAUUUCAUCCAGUUACCCGCUGCACUGGGCCCAAUAACUUGUGUUUGACUAAAACAUAGCUUACAAUA
RNA transcript from Dermochelys coriacea (leatherback sea turtle), 5172 nucleotides. It is a transcript of the gene named succinyl-CoA:glutarate-CoA transferase, with no coding region annotated. The record is from RefSeq and is a predicted model, not a curated record. NCBI's taxonomy places the organism in Eukaryota, Metazoa, Chordata, Testudines, Dermochelyidae. The transcript has 15 exons.